This is a long non-coding RNA of Triticum aestivum (bread wheat), 236 nucleotides long. RefSeq lists it as uncharacterized. The transcript is spliced from 2 exons. NCBI's taxonomy places the organism in Eukaryota, Viridiplantae, Streptophyta, Magnoliopsida, Poales, Poaceae. The record is from RefSeq and is a predicted model, not a curated record.
GGCCGACAUGCUCAUGAACAUCAAGACCGGAUCAAGUACGCUGGUGCACCGCGGUGUGCGGCGGCCUAUUUUCUUGUAGUGGGUUAUGAUGAUAUUUCCACGGAAAUAUACUGACCCUGAUGCGACAAAGGUGUCCAUUUUCCCUUUUUUAAACUUUUUUACUCUGUUUUUUGUUCUUCCUGUAGUUCCAGUUUCACAUUGCUGGUGUUUCAUGCAAUAUUCAUCGGAUCCUGCUU